RNAcentral lists this ribosomal RNA (465 nucleotides) under uncultured bacterium. RNAcentral's name for it is "SSU rRNA". It matches the Rfam family "Bacterial small subunit ribosomal RNA", at positions 26 to 518 of the family's 1533-position model. The record is from RNAcentral.
AGGACUAACGCUGGCGGCGUGCCUAACACAUGCAAGUCGAACGAGAGUAGCAAUACUCUAGUGGCAGACGGGUGAGUAACACGUGGUCAACCUACCUUUAAGUGGGGGAUAACUAGCCGAAAGGUUAGCUAAUACCGCAUACGAUCUUCGCGUGGCAUCACAUGAAGAUGAAAGGAGCAAUCCGCUGAAAGACGGGACCGCGUCCCAUUAGCCAGUUGGUGGGGUAACGCCUACCAAAGCAACGAUGGGUAGCUGGCUUGAGAGAGCGACCAGCCACACUGGGACUGAGACACGGCCCAGACUCCUACGGGAGGCAGCAGUGAGGAAUUUUCCGCAAUGGGCGAAAGCCUGACGGAGCGACGCCGCGUGUGGGAUGAAGGCCUUCGGGUCGUAACCACUGUCGAAGGGGAAGAGUAUUGACGGUACCCUUGGAGGAAGCCCGGCUAACUACGUGCCAGCAGCCGC